This 253-nucleotide ribosomal RNA is filed under the name uncultured bacterium. RNAcentral's name for it is "partial 16S ribosomal RNA". It matches the Rfam family "Bacterial small subunit ribosomal RNA", at positions 524 to 776 of the family's 1533-position model. The record is from RNAcentral.
UACGUAGGGCGCAAGCGUUGUCCGGAAUUAUUGGGCGUAAAGAGCUCGUAGGCGGCCUGUUACGUCUGCUGUGAAAUCCCGGGGCUUAACCCCGGGCGUGCAGUGGAUACGGGCAGACUGGAGGCAGGCAGGGGAGAACGGAAUUCCCAGUGUAGCGGUGAAAUGCGCAGAUAUCGGGAGGAACACCGGUGGCGAAGGCGGUUCUCUGGGCCUGUACUGACGCUGAGGAGCGAAAGCGUGGGGAGCGAACAGG